UGGGGAAUAUUGGACAAUGGGCGAAAGCCUGAUCCAGCCAUGCCGCGUGUGUGAAGAAGGCCUUAUGGUUGUAAAGCACUUUAAGCGAGGAGGAGGCUACUUUAGUUAAUACCUAGAGAUAGUGGACGUUACUCGCAGAAUAAGCACCGGCUAACUCUGUGCCAG
RNAcentral lists this ribosomal RNA (165 nucleotides) under uncultured bacterium. RNAcentral describes it as "partial 16S rRNA". It matches the Rfam family "Bacterial small subunit ribosomal RNA", at positions 355 to 511 of the family's 1533-position model. The record is from RNAcentral.